CAAAUACUCCCUCCGUCCGGAAAUAUUUGUCUUAGAAAUGCAUGUAUAUAUCUAGACAUAUUUUAGUUAUAGACACAUUUAUUUUAUUCAUUUUUAGGACAAGUANUUCCGGACGGAGGGAGUAUAUA
Hordeum vulgare subsp. vulgare (domesticated barley) is the source of this 128-nucleotide non-coding RNA. The record is from Rfam. Lineage: Eukaryota; Viridiplantae; Streptophyta; Magnoliopsida; Poales; Poaceae.